Molecule: ribosomal RNA, 893 nt
Filed under: Colletotrichum nymphaeae
Lineage: Eukaryota; Fungi; Ascomycota; Sordariomycetes; Glomerellales; Glomerellaceae
Description: LSU rRNA
Rfam family: Eukaryotic large subunit ribosomal RNA
Source: RNAcentral
GCAUAUCAAUAAGCGGAGGAAAAGAAACCAACAGGGAUUGCCCCAGUAACGGCGAGUGAAGCGGCAACAGCUCAAAUUUGAAAUCUGGCCCCAGGCCCGAGUUGUAAUUUGCAGAGGAUGCUUUUGGCGCGGUGCCUUCCGAGUUCCCUGGAACGGGACGCCAUAGAGGGUGAGAGCCCCGUACGGUUGGACACCAAGCCUUUGUAAAGCUCCUUCGACGAGUCGAGUAGUUUGGGAAUGCUGCUCUAAAUGGGAGGUACAUUUCUUCUAAAGCUAAAUAUUGGCCAGAGACCGAUAGCGCACAAGUAGAGUGAUCGAAAGAUGAAAAGCACUUUGAAAAGAGGGUUAAACAGCACGUGAAAUUGUUAAAAGGGAAGCGCUUGUGACCAGACUUGCGUCCGGUGAAUCACCCAGCUCUCGCGGCUGGGGCACUUCGCCGGCACAGGCCAGCAUCAGCUUGCCGUCGGGGACAAAAGCUUCAGGAACGUGGCUCCUCUCGGGGAGUGUUAUAGCCUGUUGCAUAAUACCCUUCGGCGGGCUGAGGUACGCGCUCCGCAAGGAUGCUGGCGUAAUGGUCAUCAGCGACCCGUCUUGAAACACGGACCAAGGAGUCAACCUUAUGUGCGAGUGUUUGGGUGUCAAACCCCUACGCGUAAUGAAAGUGAACGCAGGUGAGAGCUUCGGCGCAUCAUCGACCGAUCCUGAUGUUCUCGGAUGGAUUUGAGUAAGAGCAUAUAGGGUUGGACCCGAAAGAAGGUGAACUAUGCGUGUGUAGGGUGAAGCCAGAGGAAACUCUGGUGGAGGCUCGCAGCGGUUCUGACGUGCAAAUCGAUCGUCAAACAUGCGCAUGGGGGCGAAAGACUAAUCGAACCUUCUAGUAGCUGGUUUCCGCG